UACGGAGGAUGCGAGCGUUAUCCGGAUUUAUUGGGUUUAAAGGGUGCGCAGGCGGAGGUGCAAGUCAGUGGUCAAAUUUCGGGGCUCAACCCCGACAAGCCGUUGAAACUGGCUUGCUAGAGUGGGCGAGAAGUAUGCGGAAUGCGUGGUGUAGCGGUGAAAUGCAUAGAUAUCACGCAGAACUCCGAUUGCGAAGGCAGCGUACCGGCGCCAGACUGACGCUGAGGCACGAAAGCGUGGGGAUCGAACAGG
Molecule: ribosomal RNA, 252 nt
Filed under: uncultured Bacteroidales bacterium
Lineage: Bacteria; Pseudomonadati; Bacteroidota; Bacteroidia; Bacteroidales
Description: partial 16S ribosomal RNA
Rfam family: Bacterial small subunit ribosomal RNA
Source: RNAcentral